CAUUCCAAAUUUUUUGCCUUCUGGCCAGUCCGUGAUCACUUCCACAAUUCCUGGGAGACUGGGGUUUCCUAUUCGAGCUCAUUCUGUGAUCAGCGCAACCCACUUACUCCACGUGGCAUCAGUUGCAUGAUGUGUAGAGGAGACCCUCCCUUUGAACAUCCAGCCCAGCACUGGCAGGCAGGGUGCUAAGAGGAGCUGUGCUUCAGUACCAACCACUUCUGAGGCAGCUCGAACUCCUUCAUGUGCUGCCAAAA
This is a long non-coding RNA of Aquila chrysaetos chrysaetos, 254 nucleotides long. RefSeq lists it as uncharacterized. Lineage: Eukaryota; Metazoa; Chordata; Aves; Accipitriformes; Accipitridae. The record is from RefSeq and is a predicted model, not a curated record. The transcript is spliced from 3 exons.